This 1325-nucleotide ribosomal RNA is filed under the name metagenome. Its description in RNAcentral is "bacterial LSU rRNA". It matches the Rfam family "Bacterial large subunit ribosomal RNA", at positions 1561 to 2925 of the family's 2925-position model. The record is from RNAcentral.
AGUGGAUGGGGAGCAACCUAGUUGUGCGUGUGUAAAGGUAGUGCCAAGAAAAGCGAUGAUCAUGUUGAAAAUCAAUUCCCGGUACCCGAAACCGACACAGGUGGGCAAGUAGAGAAUACUAAGGGGCGCGAGGUAACUCUCUCCAAGGAACUCGGCAAAAUGACCCCGUAACUUAGGGAGAAGGGGUGCCACCGAGAGGUGGUCGCAGUGAAGAGGCCCAGGCGACUGUUUAGCAAAAACAUAGGUCUCUGCAAACUCGAAAGAGGAGGUAUAGGGGCUGACGCCUGCCCAGUGCCGGAAGGUUAAAGAAGUUGGUCAGUCUUAGGAUGAAGCUAGCGACUGAAGCCCCGGUGAACGGCGGCCGUAACUAUAACGGUCCUAAGGUAGCGAAAUUCCUUGUCGGGUAAGUUCCGACCCGCACGAAAGGCGUAACGAUCUGGGCGCUGUCUCGGAGAGAGGCUCGGCGAAAUAGGAUUGUCUGUGAAGAUACGGACUACCUGCAUUUGGACAGAAAGACCCUAUGAAGCUUUACUAUAGCUUGGAAUUGUGUUCGGGCUUCCUGUGCGCAGGAUAGGUGGGAGGCGUAGAAGGUAUUCUUGUGGGGAUACUGGAGCCAACGGUGAGAUACCACUCUCAGGAGGCUAGAAUUCUAACUUAAUUAAGGACAGUUUCAGGUGGGUAGUUUGACUGGGGCGGUCGCCUCCAAAAAGGUAACGGAGGCGUACAAAGGUUCCCUCAGACUGGUUGGAAAUCAGUCGAAGAGUGCAAAGGCAGAAGGGAGCUUGACUGCGAGAAGUACAGUUCGAGCAGGGUGGAAACACGGUCUUAGUGAUCCGACGGUGCUGUGUGGGAGGGCCGUCGCUCAACGGAUAAAAGUUACUCUAAGGAUAACAGGCUGAUCUCCCCCAAGAGUUCACAUCGACGGGGAGGUUUGGCACCUCGAUGUCGGCUCAUCGCAACCUGGGGCGGAAGUACGUCCCAAGGGUUGGGCCUUCGCCCAUUAAAGCGGUACGUGAGCUGGGUUCAGAACGUCGUGAGACAGUUCGGUCCAUAUCCGAUGUAGGCGUGAGAAUAUUGAGAGGAGCCUUCCUUAGUACGAGAGGACCGGGAAGGACGCACCGCUGGUGUACCUGUUAUGAUGCCAAUUGUAAACGCAGGGUAGCCAAGUGCGGAGAGGAUAACCGCUGAAAGCAUCUAAGUGGGAAGCCCACCUCAAGAUGAGUAUUCUGGUGUAAGGUCACGGGAAGACGACCCGUAAAUAGGCACGAGGUGGAAGUGCAGAGAUGUAUGAAGCCGAAGUGUACUAAUAGACCGUCGGCUUGACC